This is a long non-coding RNA of Cyprinus carpio (common carp), 2318 nucleotides long. The record is from Ensembl. Lineage: Eukaryota; Metazoa; Chordata; Actinopteri; Cypriniformes; Cyprinidae.
GGGGAAAGAAAGUGUAUUGUGAGAUAAGAUUUAGAAAACAGGUUUUGGCAUUACGGAAAUGCUUGACUAUACAAGGAAGAUAAACAACAGAGAAGGCAGUGACUGAGAGAGGUAGGCACAGAAACAAGGUGCUUUACACAGGUUGUACAACUGCUUUGCAAGUGCUGUUAACUUGUUUGAAAAAAAGAGACACUAAGGUUUACUGGAUAUGACUUAAAGGAUGAAUGUAAAGGACCUGUAGAGGAUGAAAGAAAAUGAGAGGCUAUGGAGGAAGAAACAGCAAAGAGCGAUGUGAGAAAUGGUCUGCGGAAUGAUAUUCCACUACUGCAGUCUAUGCUGGCGAAACUUAGUCUACAACACAAACAUCCCAUUUCACACCAAGAUAAAAAAGUUUGUAAAAGUGUGUUUUACAGUGAAGAACGUUUAACAAAUGAAGAAGACAGGAAAGAUAGCACAGUCAGAUCUUAUGGUGAUGAGGAGCAACCAACUAGGAGUUCUGAAACAGAAGAUGGAAAUGAAGUUGUUGAAGAGGUCAAAGAUGCCCUUACUUAUCAGGAGAGGAAGAACUUUCUCCCUGUGUCUUUGUCCACAGAAAUACAAGCUUCAGAAUUAAGUCAGCAGCCAAGUAAAAAUGAGUUUCUGGAGGACAAAAAGAACAAAGAGACUAGCACUGAAGAGCAAGUGGCUGAAGCUGCAUUAUUGCCUAACAAUCUAUCUCAAGAAACAUCUGCACAUACAUCUUACCUCUCUGUGUCCUCAGAUAAAGUAGACUAUGCACAGGCAGGGUUUAAGCUUGAACCAUUAGAUGAAGCUUGUGGUAGUCCUUCAAAUCCAGUCAGUAUGGACACCAGCAGGGUUCUAACCCAUCAAACUGCUGUCAACCUUACAAGCAAGACAACAAGGUCUGCUUCAGAUCCAGUAAAACACACGCCUAAGGAAAAGAGACCCCUGUCAGCUCCAAGUAUUUCAAACCAAUGGGAAUAUGAAGAUAUUGCAAAUGCAAUGUCAACGAAAAGCUUCAACAAAGCUGCUAAGAUUUUGGCACAGGAGGAUUCAGGCAUGAGCAUCGGGGGUGCAGAACAUGACAACCCGCUCAACAAAACUCAAAAGAAAGGAGUGAAAAACAAAAUGAAGACUCUUACUCAGAAACUGAUGGAAAAGCUUAAAGAUAAACAUUAUUGUGAGCACACCAGCAGCAAGAGCACCCAAGACAGUGUGGAGGAAGAAGGACAAAAUCUGAAUGUCAUGGAGAUGGAAGCCAAGGCUCCAGAGAUUCCACCACCACUUCCACCGAAAAAGGGGAAAUAUGUUUUCUUAGACAGAAGAUUUACCUUAAAAGACUUCAAACUCGAUCUUGAACCGAUCAACUUAAUGGAGGAAAUAUUCUCUGGGAGCGAAUGGCUCAGUUACCUGCCCAGCAAAGAAAGUCCAUCUGAGAAAGACACUAGUGAUCAGUCAAUGACAAACGAUGUUCUCCAACCAGAAAAGGGUAUUCAGCUCAACGUUCCUAUUCCAACACCAGAGCAGGACCAGUCAGAGGACAUAAAGGACAAUCAAGACAGUGUUAGCGAUCCUCAAGAGGACAAUGUAGCAAAAGCGAACAGUGACUUGGAUGUAAAACAUCUGGAACAGGAUCCAAACAUAUUUGCCAUACCUAAGGCACUGCUAACAAGUAAUGCAAUAAAACAAAGGGCUGGGAUAGACUGUGAGCCAAACAAAUCAGAAGACAUCUGUGAUCGUAUGGACAUGUAUAUUAUUCCCAGAAAUGACUUUCCAUUAAUGAAAAGAAAGGCAUCAGAUGCUCCACUGGACUUUUCAGCAGUCAAGUCAUUUGAAUUUCUAGACAACUCUGCCCUCAAGAGUCGAAUUCGUCUUAGCAAAAAGAGACACCACCGACCACCCAAAAAGCACAAAAAAGUAAAAACAGAAAUGUUGAGUGCCAUAUUCUACAAGAUUCCCCCUGUGAUACUGAAUGAAUCCCCUGUCAGCGCAUCUCAACCACGUCAUAGCAUCCCCCUUUCCACAUCUCCUCCCCUGCAUUCACCAUCACAUCCAUAUCACUCCUAAACAGUUACUCCAUGAGAUGACGUCAUGAUCAUGGUCAUUAAUCUAUGAAAUUCAAUUCAAGUUUUUCAGUUCAAGUUUAUUUGUAUAGCGCUUUUUACUAUACAAAUCAUUGCAAAGCAACUUUACAGAAAAUUACGUUUCUACAAUAUUUAGUAGUAGCUUAUCAGUGGUGACUGUCAGUUUAUGUGCAUACGGCAGAAAUGUUCAGAAAAAUCAAUAAAAGACAUAAACAAACAGACGAUUAACGCUAU